ACUCGCCCCUGGGGAGGGGCGGGUGGGGAUUCUGGGCCGGUGGCGGAGUCAGUGUCGCUUCAGCCAGGCUGCGGAGCGGACGGACGCGCCUGGUGCCCCGGGGAGGGGCGCUACCAGGGGAGGAGGAGGAGGAGGAGAAGGUGGAGAGGAAGAGACGCCCCCUCUGCCCGAGAUCUCUCCAGGCCCUGACCUCAGGGGCCAGGGCACUGACAGGACAGGAGAGCCAAGUUUCUCCACUUGGGCUGCCCUCUGAAGAGGCCGCGACCCUGGAGGGCCCUGAGCCCACAGCACCAGGGGCCCCAGCAGCACCCCGGGGGCCUAAAGCGACAGUCUCAAGGGCCACCGCAAGGUUUCCAGUUGCCUAGACAACAGGCCCGGGGUCAGAACAACAACCCUUCCAGCCACCUGCCUCAACUGCUGCCCCAGGCACCAGCCCCAGUCCCUGCGCGCCAGCCAGCCCAGGUGACAUGCCGGUGCUCUCCAGGCCCCGACCCUGGCAGGGGAGCACGCUGAAGCGUACGGCCGUGCUCCUGGCCCUCGCGGCCUAUGGAGCCCACAAAGUCUACCCCUUGGUGCGCCAAUGCCUGGCCCCGGCCAGGGGUUCUCAGGCGCCGGCCAGGGACCCCACGCAGGAGGCCUCCGGGGCCGCGGCGGCCAAGGCCGGCGUGAACCGGGUAUUCCUGCAGCGGCUUCUGUGGCUCCUGCGGCUGCUGUUCCCCCGGGUCCUGUGCCGGGAGACGGGGCUGCUGGCCCUGCACUCGGCCGCCCUGGUGAGCCGCACCUUCCUGUCGGUGUAUGUGGCCCGCCUGGACGGAAGGCUGGCCCGCUGCAUCGUGCGCAAGGACCCGCGGGCCUUUGGCUGGCAGCUGCUGCAAUGGCUCCUCAUCGCGCUCCCUGCUACCUUCGUCAACAGUGCCAUCCGCUACCUGGAGGGCCAGCUGGCCCUGUCGUUCCGCAGCCGUCUGGUGGCCCACGCCUACCGCCUCUACUUCUCCCAGCAGACGUACUACCGGGUCAGCAACAUGGACGGGCGGCUUCGCAACCCUGACCAGUCUCUGACAGAGGACGUGGUGGCCUUUGCGGCCUCUGUGGCCCACCUCUACUCCAACCUGACCAAGCCACUCCUGGACGUGGCUGUGACUUCCUACACCCUGCUUCAGGCGGCCCGUUCCCGUGGGGCCGGCACAGCCUGGCCCUCAGCCAUCGCCGGCCUCGUGGUGUUCCUCACGGCCAACGUGCUGCGGGCCUUCUCGCCCAAGUUUGGGGAGCUGGUGGCAGAGGAGGCGCGGCGGAAGGGGGAGCUGCGCUACAUGCACUCGCGUGUGGUGGCCAACUCGGAGGAGAUCGCCUUCUAUGGGGGCCAUGAGGUGGGGCAGGUUGGGACGCUGGGCACGGAGGGAAGCGUGUGGCAGGGAGGCCCGGGGGCGGGCAGCCGUGAGCAGUGGGGACAGUCCAGGGCGGGCUGGGGCUGAUGCCAAA
This is an RNA transcript of Piliocolobus tephrosceles (Ugandan red Colobus), 1479 nucleotides long. It is a transcript of the gene named ATP-binding cassette sub-family D member 1 pseudogene, with no coding region annotated. The transcript has a single exon. Lineage: Eukaryota; Metazoa; Chordata; Mammalia; Primates; Cercopithecidae. The record is from RefSeq and is a predicted model, not a curated record.